Molecule: ribosomal RNA, 460 nt
Filed under: uncultured bacterium
Lineage: Bacteria
Description: partial 16S ribosomal RNA
Rfam family: Bacterial small subunit ribosomal RNA
Source: RNAcentral
CCUACGGGCGGCAGCAGUGAGGAAUAUUGGUCAAUGGACGAGAGCCUGAACCAGCCAAGUCGCGUGAAGGAUGACGGCUCUAUGGUUUGUAAACUUCUUUUAUAAAGGAAUAAACCGAGGCACGUGUUCCUUUUUGCAUGUACUUUAUGAAUAAGGAUCGGCUAACUCCGUGCCAGCAGCCGCGGUAAUACGGAGGAUCCGAGCGUUAUCCGGAUUUAUUGGGUUUAAAGGGAGCGUAGAUGGUUUAUUAAGUCAGAUGUGAAAGUUUGCGGCUCAACCAUAAAAUUGCAGUUGAUACUGGUAGACUUGAGUACAGUUGAGGUAGGCGGAAUGCGUGGUGUAGCGGUGAAAUGCAUAGAUAUCACGAAGAACCCCGAUUGCGAAGGCAGCUUACUAAACUGUAACUGACAUUGAUGCUCGAAAGUGUGGGUAUCAAACAGGAUUAGAUACCCUUGUAGUC